AGUAGCAAUACUUGGUGGCGACCGGCGCACGGGUGAGUAACGCGUAUGCAACCUACCUAUAACAGGGGGAUAGCUCCGAGAAAUCGGGAUUAAUACCUCAUAAUAUUUAGAAUUGGCACCAAUUUUAGAUUAAAGUUCCGGCGGUUAUAGAUGGGCAUGCGUGACAUUAGCUAGUUGGUGAGGUAACGGCUCACCAAGGCUACGAUGUCUAGGGGUUCUGAGAGGAUACACCCCCACACUGGUACUGAGACACGGACCAGACUCCUACGGGAGGCAGCAGUAGGGAAUAUUGGGCAAUGGGCGCAAGCCUGACCCAGCCAUGCCGCGUGCAGGAAGACGGCCUUAUGGGUUGUAAACUGCUUUUGUAUAGGAUAAAUAUCCUGGACUAGAUUCGGGUUUGAUAGUACUAUACGAAUAAGCAUCGGCUAACUCCGUGCCAGCAGCCGCGGUAAUACGGAGGAUGCAAGCGUUAUCCGGAUUUAUUGGGUUUAAAGGGUGCGCAGGCGGAUUAAUAAGUCAGUGGUGAAAUCCUACAGCUUAACUGUAGAACUGCCAUUGAUACUGUUAGUCUAGAAUUUAGUUGAAGUGGCUGGAAUGUGUCAUGUAGCGGUGAAAUGCAUAGAGCUGACACAGAACACCGAUAGCGAAGGCAUGUCACUAAGCUAAUAUUGACGCUCAUGCACGAAAGCGUGGGGAUCAAACAGGAUUAGAUACCCUGGUAGUCCACGCCGUAAACGAUGAUAACUAGCUGUUGGCGAUACACAGUCAGUGGCUAAGCGAAAGCGAUAAGUUAUCCACCUGGGGAGUACGACCGCAAGGUUGAAACUCAAAGGAAUUGACGGGGGG
RNAcentral lists this ribosomal RNA (846 nucleotides) under uncultured bacterium. Its description in RNAcentral is "bacterial SSU rRNA". It matches the Rfam family "Bacterial small subunit ribosomal RNA", at positions 75 to 920 of the family's 1533-position model. The record is from RNAcentral.